Molecule: transfer RNA, 77 nt
Filed under: Ananas comosus (pineapple)
Lineage: Eukaryota; Viridiplantae; Streptophyta; Magnoliopsida; Poales; Bromeliaceae
Rfam family: tRNA
About the family: Transfer RNA (tRNA) molecules are approximately 80 nucleotides in length.
Source: Rfam by way of RNAcentral
GGAUCUUUAAGCUCAAAAUGGUAAGAGCGCCCGGUCUAAAUCCUGGGAGGAUGGUGGUUCGAAUCCACCAAGAUCCU